Molecule: ribosomal RNA, 234 nt
Filed under: uncultured bacterium
Lineage: Bacteria
Description: partial 16S ribosomal RNA
Rfam family: Bacterial small subunit ribosomal RNA
Source: RNAcentral
CGGGGUGAGUAACGCGUGGGUAACCUGCCUUGUACUGGGGGACAACAGUUAGAAACGACUGCUAAUACCGCAUAAGCCCACGGCUCGGCAUCGAGCAGAGGGAAAAGGAGCAAUCCGCUUUGAGAUGGCCUCGCGUCCGAUUAGCUAGUUGGUGAGGUAAUGGCCCACCAAGGCGACGAUCGGUAGCCGGACUGAGAGGUUGAACGGCCACAUUGGGACUGAGACACGGCCCAG